This 429-nucleotide ribosomal RNA is filed under the name Actinomycetes bacterium. Its description in RNAcentral is "Actinobacteria bacterium partial 16S ribosomal RNA". It matches the Rfam family "Bacterial small subunit ribosomal RNA", at positions 355 to 776 of the family's 1533-position model. Lineage: Bacteria; Bacillati; Actinomycetota; Actinomycetes. The record is from RNAcentral.
UAGGGAAUCUUCCGCAAUGGGCGAAAGCCUGACGGAGCAACGCCGCGUGAGUGAUGAAGGUCUUCGGAUCGUAAAACUCUGUUAUUAGGGAAGAACAAAUGUGUAAGUAACUAUGCACGUCUUGACGGUACCUAAUCAGAAAGCCACGGCUAACUACGUGCCAGCAGCCGCGGUAAUACGUAGGUGGCAAGCGUUAUCCGGAAUUAUUGGGCGUAAAGCGCGCGUAGGCGGUUUUUUAAGUCUGAUGUGAAAGCCCACGGCUCAACCGUGGACGGUCAUUGGAACCUGGAAAACUUGAGUGCAGAAGAGGAAAGUGGAAUUCCAUGUGUAGCGGUGAAAUGCGCAGAGAUAUGGAGGAACACCAGUGGCGAAGGCGACUUUCUGGUCUUUAACUGACGCUGAUGUGCGAAAGCGUGGGGAUCAAACAGG